AUUGAACGCUGGCGGCAUGCUUUACACAUGCAAGUCGAACGGCAGCGCGGGCUUCGGCCUGGCGGCGAGUGGCGAACGGGUGAGUAAUACAUCGGAACGUGCCCAGUAGUGGGGGAUAGCUCGGCGAAAGCCGGAUUAAUACCGCAUACGACCUGAGGGUGAAAGCGGGGGAUCUUCGGACCUCGCGCUAUUGGAGCGGCCGAUGGCAGAUUAGCUAGUUGGUGGGGUAAAGGCCUACCAAGGCGACGAUCUGUAGCUGGUCUGAGAGGACGACCAGCCACACUGGGACUGAGACACGGCCCAGACUCCUACGGGAGGCAGCAGUGGGGAAUUUUGGACAGUGGGCGAAAGCCUGAUCCAGCAAUGCCGCGUGUGUGAUGAAGGCCUUCGGGUUGUAAAGCACUUUUGGCGGGAACGAAAAGGACUGUGCCAAUACCACGGUUCGAUGACGGUACCCGCAGAAUAAGCACCGGCUAACUACGUG
This 484-nucleotide ribosomal RNA is filed under the name uncultured bacterium. Its description in RNAcentral is "partial 16S ribosomal RNA". It matches the Rfam family "Bacterial small subunit ribosomal RNA", at positions 29 to 507 of the family's 1533-position model. The record is from RNAcentral.